Molecule: ribosomal RNA, 253 nt
Filed under: uncultured bacterium
Lineage: Bacteria
Description: partial 16S ribosomal RNA
Rfam family: Bacterial small subunit ribosomal RNA
Source: RNAcentral
UACGUAGGGGGCGAGCGUUGUUCGGAAUUACUGGGCGUAAAGGGCUUGUAGGUGGCCAACUAAGUCCGACGUGAAAUCCCUAGGCUUAACCUAGGAACUGCGUCGGAUACUGGAUGGCUUGAAUCCGGGAGAGGGAUGCGGAAUUCCAGGUGUAGCGGUGAAAUGCGUAGAUAUCUGGAGGAACACCGGUGGCGAAGGCGGCAUCCUGGACCGGUAUUGACACUGAAAAGCGAAAGCCAGGGGAGCAAACGGG